UUACAUUGGGGAAAAGAAAGAAAUGAUCAUGGAGAUCGUUUAAGGCUGACUUGGAUCAUUAUGAUUCUUUUCAACCAAAAUUAGAGAAGCAAAUAAGGAAUUGGAGGCUUUAAUCAACACUGUACAAGAUCAAGACCCUUUGGACUCUUGAUUGAUAACAAGGGAUACGAAUGUUUUAUGGAACUUGAAGACAUGAUUAACGAGUUAAGACCUACAAGGUGACGAGCUAUGAGGUAAGUCAUCCAUACCUCAUAUAUGGGACUUAACUAUUAUAUGUCGUUAUAUUAUAGUAAAAUUCGUUUGUACAUAUAUUCUUAUAAGGUUUGUUGAGAUUAAUUUGGGUUGAAGAUUUUGUUGUUGUCUAGAGUGCACAUUUACAGAUCGAGAGUUAGUUCGGGCAUUAAACGGUUUCAUUACAACAUGACAUACAGUCUCAACAUUCCCGAAACACGUGUUUAGGUUCUAAAUAAGAUUUUAAGUUAAAUGGGCUUAAUUAAGGACCUAUAACAAUCUUUAAAACUGAUUUACAUAUGCUGUCCAAACCAGGUCAGCCUACUUGCAGAGGUUUGUCUAGGGCCUUAACAGUCUCGUUUUGGCAUGAUUUUUGGUCAGAAGUUAAAUAAUAUUACAAAUGAUUUUAUGUAAUUUUUGUAGAUUUUUCUGAAAAUGUUUGAUGUGGUUUUGUGGGUGUUUUGUCGACAAAAUAUAGGUUGACAACAACCAGGUCAGCCUACUUGCAGAGGUUAUUUCGGGGCCUUAACCAUCUUGUUUUGGCAUGAUUUUUGUUGAGAAGUUGGAUAACAUUAUAAAUGAUUUUAUGUAAUUUUUGUAGAUUUUGCUGAAAUUCUUUGAUGUGGUUUUGAUGGUGUUUUCUUCAUAAAAUAGUCGUUGACAACAUUAUGUUUAAAAAACGUUGUAACGGGUCAAAAGUUUAUACAUCACUAACCAAAUGGUAACAGGUCAAGAGGGUGAAUAAGUAGCCUUUAUAGUUUUAGUUUGUGAUUUACGUUAAUAAUAUGAUACUUAGAUGAGAACGAAAUCUAAUAAGUAAAUGGGACUUGAUUAAAAUGUUACAACACGGUGAAUAUUGAAAUUUUGACCCGUUAUGAUUUUAUAAAUGAAAUGUGUGAUCUCAGGGAUUUGGUUUAUGGCAAAUAGAUUGGGUACAUUUACUAAUGAUCUUUAUUAUGUCAAGGAUCAAAUUUAGAUAUGUUAGCAGGUUGCAUGGAUCGAAACAAAUCGAAUGAGUUUAAUGAUGGUAAAUUGAUGCUGAAGGUGGUUGCCUAUGUCCCUCCCAAGAUAGACUAUGCAUGUUGUGGAAGCUUACGCCAAAUACCUUAGGGUAUACGGGGCACUCUCGGUGACCCCUACCGGUGACCCAAGUCCCCGCUCGGGAACACAGGCGCCAUCAACGCGGGGACCGAAUUCGGUGAGCAUUCUCGGUGUGUAUCCACCGAUUGAGAGAGAGAGAGGAGAGAGAGAGGGGGUGAUUGGUUUGAGUGCUGCCACCAUCCAAACUCCACCAAUCAUAUUUUUUCCUUUUUUUUAUAAAAAAAUAAUUGUGUGAGUGGAGUGAUGCCAUCAAAUUGAGGGUAUGAGGGGAGUUUAAGAGGGGAGUUGACGUGGCAUAACCUGAUUGGGUGUGUGUAAGAGAGGGGACUCCCCUAAGAGGGGAGUGCCCCUCUCACCCUUAUGUGAUAUGUUGUGGUUUACGCCAAAGUGCAUGUGGGUGUAGGUUAUGCCAUGGCUGGUGUAGCCUACGCCGUAUUUGUCUUCUCCUAUCCAUUUUUGUCGUGUUAAAACUUAUUUUGAUGCAAACCUUUUGCCAUGUUUCCUAGAUGUUAUACAACUAACUUAAGGUUUUGUAAUACCUUAGGUAAUGCUGUGGAUAAGUAUCGUUGAAGGCUUUGGAUUUGAAGAUUAAGUGCUUGGGACGGACUACGAAUAUCACAUCAUGGAGAUGAGAUGUCAUUUUGUGUAGUAAUUGAUUAACGAACGUAAGGUUAUUAGAUUAUAUUUUUUAUAAAAGAUAAUGUUGAUGACGUAUACUCAUGAAAAUAAGUUUAUACAAUGAUAUAAAAAAAAUUUGGGACCUAGUUUCCGCAUUUAAUUUAAA
This is a long non-coding RNA of Helianthus annuus (common sunflower), 2116 nucleotides long. RefSeq lists it as uncharacterized. NCBI's taxonomy places the organism in Eukaryota, Viridiplantae, Streptophyta, Magnoliopsida, Asterales, Asteraceae. The transcript is spliced from 2 exons. The record is from RefSeq and is a predicted model, not a curated record.